RNAcentral lists this ribosomal RNA (735 nucleotides) under Crenubiotus crenulatus. Its description in RNAcentral is "partial large subunit ribosomal RNA". It matches the Rfam family "Eukaryotic large subunit ribosomal RNA", at positions 70 to 629 of the family's 3401-position model. Lineage: Eukaryota; Metazoa; Tardigrada; Eutardigrada; Parachela; Adorybiotidae. The record is from RNAcentral.
GGGGAUUCCCAUAGUAACUGCGAGUGAAAGGGGAACAGCCCAGCGCCGAAUCCUGCUGCUGGCAACGGUGGCAGGAACUGUGGCGUGAAGAAAGCUAAUACUGGUGUGGCUUGUCUACGUAAGUUCUCCUGAGUGAGACUCCAUCCCAUGGAGGGUGCAAGGCCCGUAUCGUAGGCAGCUGAUGCCAGUGUAAACUUUCGGAGAGUCGCCUUGUUUGCGAGUACAAGGUGAAGUCGGUGGUAAACUCCAUCGAAGGCUAAAUAUGACCACGAGUCCGAUAGCGAACAAGUACCGUGAGGGAAAAUUGAAAAGCACUUUGAAGAGAGAGCGAAACAGUGCGUGAAACCGCUCAGAGGCAAGCAGAUGGGGCCUCGAAGGCAAAGCAGCGAAUUCAGCUGGUGGUCUGUGUGGCCGGUCGGUAUUUGAGAUCGCAAGACUCUGGCCGACUGUUUGUCUGCACGGCUGCUAGUGCAUUUUCGUUGUUUGUACGCCACCGCCGUUGAGCGAGCGUCCGCCGGGUGUGCGAGUGAAGCCUUGCUCCUUCACGGGAGCAGGUGCUUACUGCGUGUCUGUGCGCGUUCGCGCCUCAACCGGUCAUGUCAGCGUGUGUCAGCGUAAGCGUUGGGUCAGUGUGCUCCGAUCGAGUGUCGUGGAAUCGGAGCUUGCUCCGCUCCUCGGCGUUUAGUGGACUCGCUGCUGUGCCUUCAACGUGGACACAUUGUGGAUCGGUGGCGA